CAGGUGGGACAGGUGGGACAGGUGAGAGGGGAGAGGUGAGACAGGUGAGACAGGUGGGACAGGUGAGACAGAUGAGGGACAGGUGGGACGGUUGGGACAGGUGGGACAGGUGAGAGACAGGUGAGAAUGGACAGGUGAGACAGGUGAGAUAGAUGGGACAGGUGAGAGGGGACAGGUGAGACAGGUGAGGGACAGGUGAGAGAGGUGAGACAGGUGAGGGACAGGUGAGACAGGUGGGACAGGUGAGACAGGUGGGACAGGACAGGUGAGACGUGGACAGGUGGGACAGGUGAGGCACAUAAGGCUGGGUUGGUCAGACAGGUGGGACAGGUGGGACAGGUAAGAGGGGACAGGUGAGUGGGGACAGGUGGGACAGGUAAGGCACAAAUGACAGAGGUAAGGGACAGGUGAGACAGGUGACGGAGGGGACAGGUGAGCCCCAGGUGAGCCCCUCCCCCUGCCCAGGUGUGCCCAGGUACCCUCCCAGGUAUAUCCCAGCCAUGCCCAGGUGUGCCCUGGGGUAACCCAACUGUCCCCAGGUGUCCCCAGGUGUGCCCAGGUGUGCCCAGGUAACCUCCCAGCCAUGCCCAGGUGUGCCCUGGGGUAACCCAACUGUCCCCAAGUGUCCCCAGGAGUGCCCAGGUGUGCCCAGGUAUCCCCAGGUGUGCCCAGGUAACCUCCCAGCCAUGCCCAGCCGUGCCCAGGUGUGCCCAGGUGUAUCCCAGGUGUAUCCCCAGGUAUCCCAGGUGCCCCCAGGUGUGCCCAGCCAUGCCCAGAUGUACCCCCAGGUGUACCCCCAGGUGUGCCCAGGUGUGCCCAGGUGCACCCCCAGCUGUGCCCCCGUUACCUGUCCGUACCCGGGGGCGUGGCAGUGCGCGGCCGUCAGGACCCACCUGGGUGUGCCCAGCCGUGCCCAGGUGUACCCCCAGCCAUGCCCAGGUGUAUCCCAGGUGUAUCCCCAGGUAUCCCAGGUGUGCCCAGGUGUACCCCCAGGUGUAUCCCCAGGUAUCCCAGGUGUGCCCAGGUAACCCCCAGCCAUGCCCAGGUGUACCUCCAGGUGUAUCCCCAGGUGUGCCCAGGUGUGCCCAGGUGUACCCCCAGCCAUGCCCAGGUGUACCCCCAGGUGUAUCCCCAGGUAUCCCAGGUGUGCCCAGGUGCCCCCCCAGCUGUGCCCCCGUUACCUGUCCGUACCCGGGGGCGUGGCAGUGCGCGGCCGUCAGGACCCACCUGGGCGCCACCAGAGUCCCCCCGCAGACGAAGCGACGGCCGCGGAACAG
This 1277-nucleotide long non-coding RNA is filed under the name Chloebia gouldiae (Gouldian finch). RNAcentral describes it as "Erythrura gouldiae (Gouldian finch) lncRNA (ENSEGOG00005018211.1)". The record is from RNAcentral. Lineage: Eukaryota; Metazoa; Chordata; Aves; Passeriformes; Passeridae.